RNAcentral lists this ribosomal RNA (330 nucleotides) under uncultured Candidatus Sumerlaeota bacterium. Its description in RNAcentral is "bacterial SSU rRNA". It matches the Rfam family "Bacterial small subunit ribosomal RNA", at positions 29 to 351 of the family's 1533-position model. Lineage: Bacteria; Candidatus Sumerlaeota. The record is from RNAcentral.
AACGAACGCUGGCGGCAGGCCUCAUACAUGCAAGUCGAGCGAUUAAAGCUCCUUCGGGAGUGUAUAAAGCGGCGAACGGGUGAGUAACAGGUGGAUGAUCUGCCUCCCGGUGGGGGAUAACGGCUGGAAACGGCCGCUAAUACCGCAUUCGGUUGUUGCGCUGCGGUGCAAUAAAGAAAGGCGCUUUACGGCGUCGCCGGGAGAUGAGUCCGCCCCCCAUUAGCUAGUUGGUGAGAUAAUAGCCCACCAAGGCUUCGAUGGGUAGCCGAGCUGAGAGGUUGAUCGGCCACACUGGAACUGAGACACGGUCCAGACACCUACGGGAGGCUG